Molecule: ribosomal RNA, 496 nt
Filed under: uncultured bacterium
Lineage: Bacteria
Description: partial 16S ribosomal RNA
Rfam family: Bacterial small subunit ribosomal RNA
Source: RNAcentral
GACGAACGCUGGCGGCGUGCCUAAUACAUGCAAGUUGAGCGCUGAAGGUUGGUACUUGUACCGACUGGAUGAGCAGCGAACGGGUGAGUAACGCGUGGGGAAUCUGCCUUUGAGUGGGGGCAACAUUUGGAAACGAAUGCUAAUACCGCAUAAAAACUUUAAACACAAGUUUUAAGUUUGAAAGAUGCAAUUGCAUCACUCAAAGAUGAUCCCGCGUUGUAUUAGCUAGUUGGUGAGGUAAAGGCUCACCAAGGCGAUGAUACAUAGCCGACCUGAGAGGGUGAUCGGCCACAUUGGGACUGAGACACGGCCCAAACUCCUACGGGAGGCAGCAGUAGGGAAUCUUCGGCAAUGGACGAAAGUCUGACCGAGCAACGCCGCGUGAGUGAAGAAGGUUUUCGGAUCGUAAAACUCUGUUGGUAGAGAAGAACGUUGGUGAGAGUGGAAAGCUCAUCAAGUGACGGUAACUACCCAGAAAGGGACGGCUAACUACGUG